RNAcentral lists this ribosomal RNA (422 nucleotides) under uncultured bacterium. Its description in RNAcentral is "bacterial SSU rRNA". It matches the Rfam family "Bacterial small subunit ribosomal RNA", at positions 359 to 773 of the family's 1533-position model. The record is from RNAcentral.
GAAUUUUGGACAAUGGGGGCAACCCUGAUCCAGCCAUCCCGCGUGUGCGAUGAAGGCCUUCGGGUUGUAAAUCACUUUUGGCAGGGAAGCAAAGGCUCUGGCUAAUACCUGGAGCUGCUGACGGUACCUGCAGAAUAAGCACCGGCUACCUUCGGUACAGCAACCGCGGUAAUACGUAGGGUGCAAGCGUUAAUCGGAAUUACUGGGCGUAAAGCGUGCGCAGGCGGUUCGGCAAGAAGGAUGUGAAAUCCCAGGGCUUAACCUUGGAACUGCAUUCUUAACUGCCGGGCUAGAGUAUGUCAGAGCGGGGUAGAAUUCCGCGUGUAGCAGUGAAAUGCGUAGAGAUGCGGAGGAAUACCGAUGGCGAAGGCAGCCCCCUGAGAUAAUACUGACGCUCAUGCACGAAAGCGUGGGGAGCAAAC